RNAcentral lists this transfer RNA (36 nucleotides) under Myrospermum sousanum. RNAcentral describes it as "partial tRNA-Leu". RNAcentral also lists the same sequence under 3 other names. Lineage: Eukaryota; Viridiplantae; Streptophyta; Magnoliopsida; Fabales; Fabaceae. The record is from RNAcentral.
AAUCCGUCGACUUUAGAAAUCGUGAGGGUUCAAGUC